RNAcentral lists this ribosomal RNA (315 nucleotides) under uncultured bacterium. Its description in RNAcentral is "bacterial SSU rRNA". It matches the Rfam family "Bacterial small subunit ribosomal RNA", at positions 28 to 334 of the family's 1533-position model. The record is from RNAcentral.
GAUGAACGCUAGCUACAGGCUUAACACAUGCAAGUCGAGGGGCAGCAUGGUCUUAGCUUGCUAAGGCCGAUGGCGACCGGCGCACGGGUGAGUAACACGUAUCCAACCUGCCGUCUACUCUUGGACAGCCUUCUGAAAGGAAGAUUAAUACAAGAUGGCAUCAUGAGUCCGCAUGUUCACAUGAUUAAAGGUGUUCCGGUAGACGAUGGGGAUGCGUUCCAUUAGAUAGUAGGCGGGGUAACGGCCCACCGAGUCUUCGAUGGAUAGGGGUUCUGAGAGGAAGGUCACCCACAUUGGAACUGAGACACGGUCCAA